This 45-nucleotide non-coding RNA is filed under the name Schistosoma bovis. RNAcentral also lists the same sequence under 1 other name. Lineage: Eukaryota; Metazoa; Platyhelminthes; Trematoda; Strigeidida; Schistosomatidae. The record is from RNAcentral.
AUCCAGUCGACGAGUCCUAAAUAGGACGAAACACGCUUCCUGAAU